RNAcentral lists this ribosomal RNA (860 nucleotides) under uncultured archaeon. RNAcentral's name for it is "bacterial SSU rRNA". It matches the Rfam family "Archaeal small subunit ribosomal RNA", at positions 76 to 922 of the family's 1478-position model. The record is from RNAcentral.
AAGUGGCAUACUGCUCAGUAGCACGUAGCUAACCUACCCUUAGGACGUCGAUAACCCCGAGAAAUUGGGGCUAAUAGGCGAUAGGUGUGAUGUCCUGGAAUGGUAUCACGCCCAAAGGUAUCCCAUACAUGUUUGGUAUACGCCUAAGGAUGGGGCUGCGGCCGAUCAGGCAGUUGGUGAGGUAAUGGCUCACCAAACCUUUGACCGGUACGGGCCAUGAGAGUGGUAGCCCGGAGAUGGACACUGAGUCAAGGGUCCAGGCCCUACGGGGCGCAGCAGGCGCGAAACCUCCUCAAUGCACUAACGUGCGAAGGGGUUACCUCGAGUGCCACCUGAAGAAGGUGGCUUUUCCUUGGUCUAAAAAGCCUCGGGAAUAAGAGGGGGGCAAGACUGGUGUCAGCCGCCGCGGUAACACCAGCCCCUCGAGUGGUGGGGAUGAUUAUUUGGCCUAAAGCGUCCGUAGCCGGCCGGGUAAGUCUCCCGUUAAAUCCAACGUCUCAAGCGUUGGACUGCGGGAGAUACUGCCUGGCUAGAGAGUGGGAGAGGUCAGCGGUAUUCUGGGGGUAGGGGCGAAAUCCUUUGAUCCCCGGAGGACCACCAGUGGCGAAGGCUGCUGACUAGAACACGUCUGACGGUCAGGGACGAAAGCUGGGGUAGCGAACCGGAUUAGAUACCCGGGUAGUCCCAGCCGUAAACGAUGCAUGCUAGGUGUUGGGUUGGCCACGAGCCACCCCAGUGCCGCAGGGAAGCCGUUAAGCAUGCCGCCUGGGAAGUACGAUCGCAAGAUUGAAACUUAAAGGAAUUGGCGGGGGAGCACCACCAGGCGUGAAGCCUGCGGUUUAAUUGGAUUCAACGCCGGG